UACAGAGGGUGCAAGCGUUAAUCGGAAUUACUGGGCGUAAAGCGUGCGUAGACGGUUAUUUAAGUCGGAUGUGAAAGCCCCGGGCUCAACCUGGGAAUUGCAUUCGAGACUGAAUAGCUAGGGUACGGUAGAGGGAAGUGGAAUUUCCGGUGUAGCGGUGAAAUGCGUAGAUAUCGGAAGGAACAUCAGUGGCGAAAGCGACUUCCUGGACCAGUACCGACGUUCAGGCACGAAAGCGUGGGGAGCAAACAGG
Molecule: ribosomal RNA, 253 nt
Filed under: uncultured bacterium
Lineage: Bacteria
Description: partial 16S ribosomal RNA
Rfam family: Bacterial small subunit ribosomal RNA
Source: RNAcentral